UUUUCUUUUUCUCCUUUAAAAUCGUUAUCACCUCUAACAUAUUUUUUUUAUAUUAAAAUUUUUUUUUAACCCAAGCCCGAAUAUUUAACAACAUGCCACUUAUCUACUAUUUAACUAACUAAUAACAGCCUUAGCUAGCAAAUCCACGUGUCAAAUUGUUGGUUCCCCACGACAAAUUCUUGCUAACCACCGUAACUGUUUAUGUUGGCCUGCAGCUUCCAAUCUGCGAUUACUUCUUCUGCUACUGCAACACACUUCUUUCCAUGAAAGGCGUCUUCUCCGUUGAAGGUUUAUUCUUCUAGUUUCUCGUAGAAUCACUCUUCCCUGUUGAAUGUUCAUUAUUAUGCUGUAAAAUAGCAUUGAUCUUCCGAGAAGGACAUCAAUCCCUAAAUUCAACAUAAAACGGCAGCACAACAAGCGCAUCGAGAGGGAGGGAGGCUUCUAGCGGAUAAGAAAGCAUCUCAGAAUGACUGCUUUUUAAAGAGGGAAUAAGGCACAGAUGCGUUGGUCCCCUCUUUUGCGCUUCCUCUCCGGAAAAUGCACAAAACUCAGACUCAAAUCGAGGAAUAAACUAAGGCCUCGCUGAGUGACACUCACAGUCACAGACUAUGGACGGAAGGGGGGUUUUCACUCGAUGAGACGUGCAGCCACCUGGAAACGUGUUCGAGAAAUUGGACCGGCAGGUAGAAAGGCAGGUCAAAGCUGGUUUUUUUAUUUUUAUUUUUUAAAGCCUCGAACACAGAGGAGGAAUAUGUUCCUCAGAGCCCAAAUACUACGUGGUCAAUGAAAAACCGACUGAUA
Molecule: long non-coding RNA, 801 nt
Filed under: Populus tremula
Lineage: Eukaryota; Viridiplantae; Streptophyta; Magnoliopsida; Malpighiales; Salicaceae
Description: long non-coding RNA (PTRE_LNC000945)
Source: RNAcentral